This 440-nucleotide ribosomal RNA is filed under the name uncultured bacterium. RNAcentral's name for it is "partial 16S ribosomal RNA". It matches the Rfam family "Bacterial small subunit ribosomal RNA", at positions 338 to 795 of the family's 1533-position model. The record is from RNAcentral.
CCUACGGGAGGCAGCAGUAGGGAAUAUUGCUCAAUGGGGGAAACCCUGAAGCAGCAACGCCGCGUGGAGGAUGAAGGUUUUCGGAUUGUAAACUCCUUUUGUUAGAGAAGAUAAUGACGGUAUCUAACGAAUAAGCACCGGCUAACUCCGUGCCAGCAGCCGCGGUAAUACGGAGGGUGCAAGCGUUACUCGGAAUCAAUGGGCGGAAAGAGCGCGUAGGCGGGAUAGCAAGUCAGAUGUGAAAUCCUAUGGCUUAACAAAAGAACUGCAUUUGAAACUGUUAUUCUAGAGUAUGGGAGAGGUAGGUGGAAUUCUUGGUGUAGGGGUAAAAUCCGUAGAGAUCAAGAGGAAUACUCAUUGCGAAGGCGACCUGCUAGAACAUAACUGACGCUGAUGCGCGAAAGCGUGGGGAGCAAACAGGAUUAGAUACCCCGGUAGUC